UUCUCUCCAAUAGGGGAGUCUCAUGGCGUGGGCGGCUUUGGGGUGACGCGUGCUCGUGCUGGCUGUGGCAUUGGGUGCCUCGGACGAAAGCCUUGCUCGGCAUUGGGCCUAGGCCGACAAUGGCGACACCCUCGGGCAUCGCUUCCUCCUUGAAGGCGUUUGUCGAAGGUGCUCCCUCCCUUCUUCGCCGUGGGAUUUUUCAGGUGAACUUGGUCGUGCCUGGACGGGCGACAACGACGCUUGUGGCGUCGUUUACUCCCUAGAGGCGUCGUUUUGGAAGAUCCCACACUGAGUUCUGGUGGCUGAUGUCUUAGUCGUGGCGGGACCUUUCUUCGGCAACAAUUGUGAACACUCCGGGUCUCUACAAGGGGUAAGUUGUCGGUGAGGCCUCUGCCCUUUUGGUGCUACGUUGGUUUGUCCACGGAUGGGCUAUGGUGGAGUCGGAGCUCCUGCGUUGGGGCGUCCGACGAGCUUGGUAAUGAUGACACGUGGUGGCCGUGGACGGGGACACAAGGCAUCAAGACAGUGGCUGAGACUUUUGUUGAAAUACAUGGAGAUACGAAAGAUUAUGUAUUACCAUCAAGGAUUGCAUCUGUCCAUAUGAUUCUCUAACCGUAUAGAGAUUUUUCAUAUGGUAACCACCAAGGAGAAGUAUAUGCGCCAACUUGUAAGAUAUUCAUGUUCAGCUUCGAGCACUACAAACUAACUCCUGGUCAGAAGUAUGCUCACUUGUAAAUGAAAGGUGUGCUUUGAGAUCAAGAUAGGCCCAAAUAAUCUGCAGAUUGAUCAGAUAUUCAAGAUUUUCAGCCAGAACUAUUAGGAACUAAUGCAAAACCAGUCUGUUCUUGUGCUGCAGUAUUUCCAUCAGUUUCAGAGAGAAGGGAUGGCUACCCUGGUUUCCUUUCUUAGAAAGAACCGAACAUCAUACAAGUAUACAACGGGAUAGUUUGGAUAGAUUUAACGGCUACAUUCUGCGGUUCGAACUCUGUACGUCAGAGUUGUUUGACAAGAUGGACACAUUUUCUCACUGGAUGCAUCUCACUUGCAGAUGAAAACGACUCAGUCUCCGAUACAGUGCAAAUAAUUGGGAACGGAGGGACUGCCUCCAUGAAAUAAUUCAGGAGCUGUAACUGUAUGAUUCGAAGUUCAAACCAGGGGAAUGGGGAUCCAAAUCCUCUUAUUUCACCUCGGUGAAGUAAGAGGUGAACUCUAAUUCCUGAGACGAUGGGCAGUAGAAUGGUACUGAGCACGGUAGCAAAGUUACUAUAGAGUCAAAUACUGUAACAGUUAUGCUGUUCAAAAAAUGCUGUAACAUCGAAUCAUAUCUAUCUAUAUAAGAUCCAAAGGCUCAUGGUGGAGCGAAGUCAGAGGAUUCCAGUGUGGCGAAUGGAGGAAGGACACGCACGGCGACAGGGGGCGUCCCUCGCCGUGUGCACGUGUGCAUGAACUUGCCCCCCUGGAGUUACAUCACGCAUUGAUUCAUGCGUGCACAGCUGUUGAUUGACUCGGUGCUUGCGGAGUUGAGACAUGGAUGGCCCGAUCGGUGCAGCCGGGGGCGAACACGGCACAUGCUUGCAUGGGAUGCGUCGCGCUGUUCAUCAGGAGCUGUGUACUCCGCCAGAGAGGACGACGCUUCCAAGCCUCUCUCUCUCAACUGCUGCCGCUGCAGCAAUGCAGUACUCGCUUAGCUUUUGCUGGAUCCUGGAUCACCCUGAUUAUGCUGCGUACCUGCUGUCCAGUUCUGAUGCAGAGUUGGUUAGCUUGGUGCAACAGUAGUGUCAUUCCGCUUCUGCCAGUACUGAUGAUUUGGCCUAAAUGACUCGCAACAGUAUCUUUGGUUAGAGACUGAAGAGGACUCCAGCUGUGUGGAUAUGCUUGUGCUGCAGCUACAUGUCUCACACAGGGCAUAAACAUCUUCAUGUACUAUAUACUGAAGCU
This is a long non-coding RNA of Phragmites australis (common reed), 1938 nucleotides long. RefSeq lists it as uncharacterized. The transcript has 5 exons. The record is from RefSeq and is a predicted model, not a curated record. Lineage: Eukaryota; Viridiplantae; Streptophyta; Magnoliopsida; Poales; Poaceae.